This 278-nucleotide microRNA precursor is filed under the name Medicago truncatula (barrel medic). Its description in RNAcentral is "MIR2655 microRNA precursor family". It matches the Rfam family "MIR2655 microRNA precursor family". The record is from Rfam by way of RNAcentral. Lineage: Eukaryota; Viridiplantae; Streptophyta; Magnoliopsida; Fabales; Fabaceae.
CCCUUAACUAUUAAAAGUUUCGUUUUGGUCCCUUAACUUAUUUUUUGGUUUCGUUUUGGUCCCUUAACUCUUCCUCCGUCAACCACUUUGGUCCUUUAUGUUAGGAUGAAUGUAUUAGAGUUAAGGACCAAAACGAAAUCAAAAAAUAAGUUAAGUGACCAAAACGAAACCAAAAAAUAAGUUAAGGGACCAAAACGAAACUUUUAAUAGUUAAGGGACCAAAACAAAACCAAAAAAUAAAUUAAGGGACCAAAACAAAACUUUUAAUAGUUAAGGGA